This 492-nucleotide ribosomal RNA is filed under the name uncultured bacterium. Its description in RNAcentral is "partial 16S ribosomal RNA". It matches the Rfam family "Bacterial small subunit ribosomal RNA", at positions 29 to 507 of the family's 1533-position model. The record is from RNAcentral.
AGUGAACGCUGGCGGUAGGCCUAACACAUGCAAGUCGAACGGCAGCACAGUAAGAGCUUGCUCUUACGGUUGGCGAGUGGCGGACGGGUGAGGAAUACAUCGGAAUCUACUUUUUCGUGGGGGAUAACGUAGGGAAACUUACGCUAAUACCGCAUACGACCUACGGGUGAAAGCAGGGGAUCCUCGGACCUUGCGCGAUUGAAUGAGCCGAUGUCGGAUUAGCUAGUUGGCGGGGUAAAGGCCCACCAAGGCGACGAUCCGUAGCUGGUCUGAGAGGAUGAUCAGCCACACUGGAACUGAGACACGGUCCAGACUCCUACGGGAGGCAGCAGUGGGGAAUAUUGGACAAUGGGCGCAAGCCUGAUCCAGCCAUACCGCGUGGGUGAAGAAGGCCUUCGGGUUGUAAAGCCCUUUUGUUGGGAAAGAAAAGCAGCAUGUGAAUACCCCGCUGUUCUGACGGUACCCAAAGAAUAAGCACCGGCUAACUUCGUG